This 264-nucleotide ribosomal RNA is filed under the name uncultured bacterium. Its description in RNAcentral is "partial 16S ribosomal RNA". It matches the Rfam family "Bacterial small subunit ribosomal RNA", at positions 524 to 784 of the family's 1533-position model. The record is from RNAcentral.
UACGUAGGUGGCGAGCGUUGUCCGGAUUUACUGGGCGUAAAGAGCGCGCAGGCGGUCGUGCAAGUCGCGUGUGAAAGCCCCCCGGCUCAACUGGGGAGGGUCACGCGAUACUGCUCGACUCGAAGGCAGGAGAGGGAAGUGGAAUUCCCGGUGUAGUGGUGAAAAUGCGUAGAUAUCGGGAGGAACACCAGUGGCGAAGGCGACUUCCUGGCCUGUUCUUGACGCUGAGGCGCGAAAGCUAGGGGUAGCAAACGGGAUUAGAAA